RNAcentral lists this ribosomal RNA (542 nucleotides) under uncultured bacterium. RNAcentral describes it as "partial 16S ribosomal RNA". It matches the Rfam family "Bacterial small subunit ribosomal RNA", at positions 355 to 888 of the family's 1533-position model. The record is from RNAcentral.
UGGGGAAUUUUGGACAAUGGGCGAAAGCCUGAUCCAGCAAUGCCGCGUGUGUGAAGAAGGCCUUCGGGUUGUAAAGCACUUUUGUCCGGAAAGAAAUCCUUGGCUCUAAUACAAUCGGGGGGAUGACGGUACCGGAAGAAUAAGCACCGGCUAACUACGUGCCAGCAGCCGCGGUAAUACGUAGGGUGCAAGCGUUAAUCGGAAUUACUGGGCGUAAAGCGUGCGCAGGCGGUUUGCUAAGACCGAUGUGAAAUCCCCGGGCUCAACCUGGGAACUGCAUUGGUGACUGGCAGGCUAGAGUAUGGCAGAGGGGGGUAGAAUUCCACGUGUAGCAGUGAAAUGCGUAGAGAUGUGGAGGAAUACCGAUGGCGAAGGCAGCCCCCUGGGCCAAAUACUGACGCUCAUGCACGAAAGCGUGGGGAGCAAACAGGAUUAGAUACCCUGGUAGUCCACGCCCUAAACGAUGUCAACUAGUUGUUGGGGAUUCAUUUCCUUAGUAACGUAGCUAACGCGUGAAGUUGACCGCCUGGGGAGUACGGUCG